This 69-nucleotide transfer RNA is filed under the name Christinus guentheri (Lord Howe Island southern gecko). Its description in RNAcentral is "tRNA-Cys". The record is from RNAcentral. Lineage: Eukaryota; Metazoa; Chordata; Lepidosauria; Squamata; Gekkonidae.
GAGCCCGCGCGGUGAGACCACGCCAAAGUGCAAAUUUGGAGACGCACCCCAAUCGGGUGCCGGGGCUUC